CCGACCUUAGCUCAGUUGGUAGAGCGGAGGACUGUAGUUGACGCAGAUAAUCCUUAGGUCACUGGUUCGAAUCCGGUAGGUCGGA
This is a transfer RNA of Arabidopsis thaliana (thale cress), 85 nucleotides long. It matches the Rfam family "tRNA". Rfam says of the family: Transfer RNA (tRNA) molecules are approximately 80 nucleotides in length. Their secondary structure includes four short double-helical elements and three loops (D, anti-codon, and T loops). Further hydrogen bonds mediate the characteristic L-shaped molecular structure. tRNAs have two regions of fundamental functional importance: the anti-codon, which is responsible for specific mRNA codon recognition, and the 3' end, to which the tRNAs corresponding amino acid is attached (by aminoacyl-tRNA synthetases). tRNAs cope with the degeneracy of the genetic code in two manners: having more than one tRNA (with a specific anti-codon) for a particular amino acid; and 'wobble' base-pairing, i.e. permitting non-standard base-pairing at the 3rd anti-codon position. Lineage: Eukaryota; Viridiplantae; Streptophyta; Magnoliopsida; Brassicales; Brassicaceae. The record is from Rfam.